This 426-nucleotide ribosomal RNA is filed under the name uncultured prokaryote. RNAcentral's name for it is "bacterial SSU rRNA". It matches the Rfam family "Bacterial small subunit ribosomal RNA", at positions 355 to 796 of the family's 1533-position model. The record is from RNAcentral.
CGAGGAAUCUUGCGCAAUGGGCGAAAGCCUGACGCAGCAACGCCGCGUGGGUGACGAAGGCCUUCGGGUUGUAAAACCCUUUUGACGGGGAAGAAGUUCUGACGGUACCCGUCGAAUAAGCCACGGCUAACUACGUGCCAGCAGCCGCGGUAAGACGUAGGUGGCGAGCGUUAUCCGGAUUUACUGGGCGUAAAGGGUACGUAGGCGGUGCUGCAAGUCUGCUGUGAAAUCUCCCGGCUCAACUGGGAGCGGUCAGUGGAAACUGCAACACUUGAGGUACGUCGAGGCAAGUGGAAUUCCCGGUGUAGUGGUGGAAUGCGUAGAUACCGGGAGGAACACCAGUGGCGAAAGCGGCUUGCCAGGCGUCACCUGACGCUGAGGUACGAAAGCGUGGGGAGCGAACCGGAUUAGAUACCCCCGUAGUCC